This 497-nucleotide ribosomal RNA is filed under the name uncultured bacterium. RNAcentral's name for it is "partial 16S ribosomal RNA". It matches the Rfam family "Bacterial small subunit ribosomal RNA", at positions 28 to 507 of the family's 1533-position model. The record is from RNAcentral.
GAUGAACGCUGGCGGCGUGCCUAAUACAUGCAAGUCGAGCGAACAGAUGAGGAGCUUGCUCCUCUGACGUUAGCGGCGGACGAGUGAGUAACACGUGGAUAACCUACCUAUAAGACUGGGAUAACUUCGGGAAACCGGAGCUAAUACCGGAUAAUAUAUUGAACCGCAUGGUUCAAUAGUGAAAGACGGUUUUGCUGUCACUUAUAGAUGGAUCCGCGCCGCAUUAGCUAGUUGGUAAGGUAACGGCUUACCAAGGCAACGAUGCGUAGCCGACCUGAGAGGGUGAUCGGCCACACUGGAGCUGAGACACGGUCCAGACUCCUACGGGAGGCAGCAGUAGGGAAUCUGCCGCAAUGGGCGAAAGCCUGACGGAGCAACGCCGCGUGAGUGAUGAAGGUCUUCGGAUCGUAAAACUCUGUUAUUAGGGAAGAACAAAUGUGUAAGUAACUAUGCACGUCUUGACGGUACCUAAUCAGAAAGCCACGGCUAACUACGUG